Daphnia carinata is the source of this 353-nucleotide long non-coding RNA. RefSeq lists it as uncharacterized. Lineage: Eukaryota; Metazoa; Arthropoda; Branchiopoda; Diplostraca; Daphniidae. The record is from RefSeq and is a predicted model, not a curated record. The transcript is spliced from 2 exons.
CGAAAUGGUGCUCUGCAAAUAGCUGAAGGUUUUCAGGUAAAAGACUAUGUGGAAUUGCUUGCCAAACCGAAUAAUGAACGAGAUCAAAUCAAAUCAGAGAGUAACAAAAAUUGCGCUGAACGAAUCGAAGAAAAGGAAAAGAGAAGGGAAUAACAACAGAAAAGGAGAAAAGCCAACAUUAAGAAAAAGAAAACUGAAAAGAAAGAACAUAAAGUGAAUAAACUAAAGAAAAAAGGCAAAUUUAUCGCAUGAAAAACUGAUACUGACUGAUGGAUCAGCUAAACUUGUGUUCUUUCAUGUGCAGCCAUGUCGUGAUAGUUUUUUAGAAAAAUACACUGAUAUGCCUUCCAUGA